CCUUAACAGAUGUGCUGAGUUUCCAUGUGAAGCAGCCAGGCCUCAGGUGCCAGCCCGAGGCUCCCUCUGAUGGAGGAGCCUGAACAGGACCCCUAGGACCCUGAAACCCCCGUUUGCAUGCCUGAAGGCCAUCUCCCAGACUGUGAUGCUGAACAGAGAACAUCUGCUCUUCUGGGUGGAAUCCUUCCAGAACACGGGAAAGAACCAAAAGGGAAAACCUCCCCUUAAAGAGAGGAAUGCUGUUUCCCAGAGGAAGGAGGUGGUCUUCGGGCUGAGGGACUUGGAGGGGACUUGCAUAAAGGGGAAGAGCAAAUCGAAGGUAUCAAAGCCAGCACACACUGCGAGAGUGAGGAGAGACAAGAUGACCCACGGAGCAACGAUGUGCUGUUUCCCAUUUCAUUCUGGGGUAGAGGUGGGGACAGUGUGAGGAUGGUCCCUUGGGGACCUUGAAGACUGUGUAAGAAGAGUCCACAAUGUGGGUAAGCCAGAAUAACCAUAAAAUGUUAUUCUUACUUUGGGGACUUAGAACCACUUAUGUCCUACUUAAAAAUCAUGGGAAAAACCAUAUUUACAUAGAGACAUUUUUGUUAAAGCAAAUACAGACCCUUGAAAAGAAUACAAGGCCUCAUUAGAUUCUCUAAAAUCAGAAA
Molecule: long non-coding RNA, 650 nt
Organism: Artibeus jamaicensis (Jamaican fruit-eating bat)
Lineage: Eukaryota; Metazoa; Chordata; Mammalia; Chiroptera; Phyllostomidae
Exons: 3
Source: RefSeq, a predicted model, not a curated record